Molecule: long non-coding RNA, 986 nt
Organism: Oncorhynchus tshawytscha (Chinook salmon)
Lineage: Eukaryota; Metazoa; Chordata; Actinopteri; Salmoniformes; Salmonidae
Source: Ensembl
GGGGCAUGGUGGCCUGUUGCUUCUGCGGUUGAGGCAUUGGGGCUGGUUGCUUCUGCAGCAUGGUGGCCAGUUUCUGCUGCUGGGGCAUUUGAGCUGGAUGCCACUCUUGCUGGGGCAUGGCGGUUGGUUGCUUCUGUGGUAGAGGCAUGAAGGCCAGAUGCUUCUGGGGCAUUUGAGCUGGAUACCUCACUUGCUGGGGUAUGGUGGCCAGUUCCUGUUGAUGCUGGGGAAUGUGCAUUGGGUGCCACACUUGCUGAGGUAGCUGGGGCAUGGUGGCCGGUUCCUUCUGCUGCUGAGGUUCAGCGGCCGGUUCCUUCUGCAGCUGGGGCUUUUGAGCUGGAUACCAUGCUUGCUGGGGCAUGGUGGCCGGUUCCUUCUGCUGCUGGGGUUCAGCAGCCGGUUCCUUCUGCUGCUGAGGUUCAGCAGCCGGUUGCUUCCGCUGCUGAGGUUCAGCGGCCGGUUCCUUCUGCAGCUGGGGCUUUUGAGCUGGAUACCAUGCUUGCUGGGGCAUGGUGGCCGGUUCCUUCUGCUGCUGGGGUUCAGCGGUUGGUUGCUUCUGGGGCAUUUGAGCUGGAUACCAUGCUUGCUGGGGCAUGGCGGUCAGUUCAAUCUGCUCCUGAGGAUCAGCGGCCAGUUGCUUCUGGGGCUUAGCUGGAUACCACACUUGCUGGGGCAUGGCAGUCAGUUGCUUCAGCAGCAUUUGAGCUGGAUGCAACACUUGCUGAGGUUGCUGGGUUAUGGAGGCCGGUUCCUUCUGCUGCUGAGGUUCAGUAGCCGGUUGCUUUUGCUGCUGGGGCAAUUGAGCUGGAUGCCACACUUGCUGCUGCAUGGUGGCCGGUUGCUUCUGCUGCAUUUGAGCUGGAUACCAUGCUUUCUGGGGCAUAGCUGUUGGUCGUUUCUGCGGUAUAGGCAUUGGAGCCGGUUGCUUCUGGGGCAUGGUGGUCAGUUCGGUCUGCUGCUGAGGACCAGUAGCUGGUUGCUUUUGC